ACGAAUGCUGGCGGCGUGCUUAACCCAUGCAAGUCGAACGGAAAGGCCCUGCUUUUGUGGGGUGCUCGAGUGGCGAACGGGUGAGUAACACGUGAGUAACCUGCCCUUGACUUUGGGAUAACUUCAGGAAACUGGGGCUAAUACCGGAUAGGAGCUCCUGCUGCAUGGUGGGGGUUGGAAAGUUUCGGCGGUUGGGGAUGGACUCGCGGCUUAUCAGCUUGUUGGUGGGGUAGUGGCUUACCAAGGCUUUGACGGGUAGCCGGCCUGAGAGGGUGACCGGCCACAUUGGGACUGAGAUACGGCCCAGACUCCUACGGGAGGCAGCAGUGGGGAAUAUUGCACAAUGGGCGGAAGCCUGAUGCAGCAACGCCGCGUGCGGGAUGACGGCCUUCGGGUUGUAAACCGCUUUCGCCUGUGACGAAGCGUGAGUGACGGUAAUGGGUAAAGAAGCACCGGCUAACUACGUG
RNAcentral lists this ribosomal RNA (467 nucleotides) under uncultured bacterium. Its description in RNAcentral is "partial 16S ribosomal RNA". It matches the Rfam family "Bacterial small subunit ribosomal RNA", at positions 29 to 507 of the family's 1533-position model. The record is from RNAcentral.